Molecule: ribosomal RNA, 460 nt
Filed under: uncultured bacterium
Lineage: Bacteria
Description: partial 16S ribosomal RNA
Rfam family: Bacterial small subunit ribosomal RNA
Source: RNAcentral
CCUAUGGGAGGCAGCAGUGAGGAAUAUUGGUCAAUGGCCGGAAGGCUGAACCAGCCAUGCCGCGUGAAGGUCAGUGCCCUAUGGGCGUUAAACUUCUUUUGUGCGGGAGCAAUAAUGGUCACGUGUGGCCAGACGAGAGUACCGUACGAAUAAGCAUCGGCUAACUCCGUGCCAGCAGCCGCGGUAAUACGGGGGAUGCAAGCGUUAUCCGGAUUUAUUGGGUUUAAAGGGUGCGUAGGCUGUGAGGUAAGUCAGCGGUGAAAUGCCCCCGCUCAACGGGGUGAAGUGCCAUUGAUACUGCCUUGCUGGAAUGCGGAUGCCGUGGGAGGAAUGUGUGGUGUAGCGGUGAAAUGCGUAGAUAUCAGGAGGAACACCGGCGGCGAAGGCGGCCUGCUGGACUGCGACUGACGUUGAGGCUCGAAAGCGUGGGGAGCGAACAGGAUUAGAUACCCCAGUAGUC